Molecule: long non-coding RNA, 3100 nt
Organism: Pongo abelii (Sumatran orangutan)
Lineage: Eukaryota; Metazoa; Chordata; Mammalia; Primates; Hominidae
Source: Ensembl
UGCUCGGGAGGCGGAGCUCCGAGCGCGACCGGGAGGGCUACGCGGCGGCCGCAGCCAUGGGCUCUGGGCCUGCGGGGGCGCGGUGGGGGUGCGAGGACCUGCGGGGCCGGGCGGGAGAGACGGCUGCCGGGACCCGCCCUAGACACUGAGCCGCGGUGGGAUCCCCGCUGGCUCUGCGAGGCCCUGCGAGCGCCAGGGAGGCGCCUCGACGGAGCGGGGCAGCCCCCGGCCACUUCAGGGGGGCCCGCUUCGCCGCCCGGGCGGUCGAGAGGGCCUUGGGGGCACAUCUCGGGGUGCGGUGACCCGCCUGGCGCAUUUCGGGGGUCGGGGCGCGUUUGCCAGGGGACAUCUGGAGCCCGGCCCUGCUUCUGUCGGGCUCCAGGGUACCCCUGGAUGGCUGCGCUGUGCCCUCGCCGGCCGCCCGGGCGCCGCAGCGGCUGAGUUCGCCGGGAUCGCCGGGCCGCCGCCGCCCUUGCCACCCGCUGCAUGCUCGGCGCCCGGGUCGCGGCCCACCUGGACGCACUGGGCCCCCUGGUCCCCUACGUGCCGCCGCCGCUGCUGCCCUCUAUGUUCUACGUGGGCCUGUUCUUCGUCAAUGUGCUGAUCCUGUACUACGCCUUCCUCAUGGAGUACAUCGUUCUCAACGUGGGCCUCGUCUUCCUGCCCGAGGACAUGGACCAGGCGCUCGUGGACCUCGGCGUGCUCUCCGACCCCGGCUCGGGCCUUUACGAUGCUGACUCGGAGCUCGACGUCUUUGAUGGGUACUUGGAGUAGGGUCUCGACUGCCGUUCCCCUCUUCCCUCCACGAUCCGCAACCCACUCCCUGGACCAGCCGCCCAGAUCAUACCGCCGCAGCUGGUUGGGGGCACCAUCUGGACGGGGAUGGUUCCCCAGGAGGAGACCCUCCCCUGCCUCCGAGGCCUGUCUAACUGGAUGCCAGGAAUGGCCAGACUCCUCUUAAGCCCUUCGUUUGGGCUGGAAAGCUUCCCCCAGCAAAGGGGACAGCUGGUGAAAAGGAAGGGGACCCCGAGAGGACAUGGACCUGUGCAGAGACAGGCAACUUCUCCUUUGCUGUCUGUCUCCUUCCAGCCACCAGGAGAUGGCCAGACCCCAGCCAUGCCUUCAUCCAGAGAUAAGGUAGAGACCCUCCUGCUACAUAGCCUGUCAUCAGCGUGGAGUAUCAGAAUGGCUGCGCCUGCUCCCCUCAAAAGCUUCGUGCCAACAGAGAGGUUCCUGUUUGGACCCAGGAGAGUGGAAGAGAGAUUGGGACUGACUGCUGAGGAACCCAGCCAGAGUUUGCCUCCCUGCACUUCAUCCCGGAGCGCACCUGCUUCCCCCACUUCACCUUCAGAGAGGACACUUCAAACUGCGGACACACACAAAAGCGACUCCCAGCUCCGUUUGAUGUUACUCAUUCUUCAGCAAGUUGGCAAAACAGACAUCAUGCUGGUGAGGAGACUGAGGUGUGGGAGAGUACAGGCGGCAGAACUCUCGCGGGAGACAGUUGUAGCACCACUUGCCCUCAUGUGAUGCUAAAGAAAGAAAAGCUACGAAAUCUGAAAAGAAGACAUUUGAGAGGCCCAAGGAAAAAGGUGAGCGUGAGGAGGGAGACAUUUGCAUGCAGAGAGAGGCCUGAGAGGAAGAGUGACCAUUUGGAAGGUGCGCGGACUUACAGUCCACUGGACGUGGAAUUGCACCAUCAUGCCCUGAUUCCUCCAAGCAGCGCUUUACUACCUGACAAAUGGGGUUCAGGGGCACUUCCAGCACACUGUGCCUUUGCCUGCAGAGAGGUCCUCCAAAGAAGUCAGAAGUCCAUUCCUUUGUAGGAGUGUGACUAUAAGUAUUGCUUAGAUCUGUGACACGGGGUCAGUAAUUUAUCCACAUCUUAUGAUGACUGUGCAUUAACUACAAAAAGGUGCCCCUCUGGGUUAAAAGGCUCCACACCAGGACUCCCAGCUUGGCAAGCAGAACCCAGACUGGUUUGCAGCCCCCAUGUUCCCCCUUGUCCAGGUGCCUUUGUGCAGUGUACAGACUGGCCAACCUCACCUGGCAGCCCUGUCCAGAGUUUUUUUAAUUUGCUAAAAUAUAAGACUCACCAGGGCAGGAACAUCUUAUUCAUGACUGUGCACUCAGUACGUAUUUGUAGAAUGAAUGAAACAGGUGAGGAUUAUUUGUUCAUUUUAUGUUAUUGAGCACCUAUUAUACACAGGCGCCUUGCUGGGUGCAGAGGGCACAACAGUGUACAAAGCAAGAUGUUUCCCGCCCUCCUGGAGCUCAUGUCCUAGGACAAGAGCAGACUGCAUAAAUAAGUGAAAAAGAUAAACUAGUGAUGGGGUUGCAGAGUGGGGCAAGUCCUGAAGGAUGAGAAAUCGGCCAUAUGGAGAGCUGGGAGGAACAUUCCAGCCAGAGGCAAGAAUGAAACACAGAUAUAUGUAAUAAUGACAGCCAAGAUGUUAUUGAGCCUAAUUCUCAACCUAUUAGCUCACCACACCUUCACAUAAUCCUAUAAAAAAGGUGCUGUGGUUAUGCUCAUUUUACAAAUGAGGAGACUGAGGCACAGAGAACUAGCUUGCAUAAGUAAGUGGUAAGGAGGGCGUUGAGCCCAGGCAACAUUGUUCUAGACUCUCUGCCAUUCGCCCCUAGACUCUUAUCCCUCUUGGGUAGGAGUUUAGCACAGUGUCUGGCACACAGUUGUCACUUAUUGAGCUAAUACUUUCUGAGCACUUUGAAUUUCCCUUGCACUGUGAUAAGGGCUUUGCAUGUAUCAGCUCAUUAAAUAAACAGUAGUGGCUGGGUGCGGUGGCUCACACCUGUAAUCCCAGCACUUUGGGAGGCCAAGGCAGGCAGAUUACCUGAGGUCAGGAGUUUGAGAUCAGCCUGGCCAACAUGGUGAAAUUCCAGCUCUACUAAAAAUACAAAAAUUAGCCAGGCGUGGUGGUGCAUGCCUGUAAUCCCAGCUACUUGGAAGGCUGAGGUGGGAGAAUCUCUUGAACCCAGGAGGCAGAGGUUGCAGUGAGCCGAGAUCACGCCACCGCACUCCAGUGUGGGCAACAAGAGUGAAAACUCUGUCUCAAAAAAAUAAAAUAAAAUAAUAAUAAAC